GAAGCAAGGAAAGACUAAUUUCAAAUGGAACCGAACAGUAAAUAUUCUCCUAAUUUAUAGGACUAAAUAUACUGAGAAAUAUUUCAGGAAAUAUGCCAAAAUGUCCAAUAAAUUCGUAUUUUCGUUAUUUUGAUAUCAAACGAAUUUAGUAUUGUCCUAUAGUACUGCUUUUUGAUACAAAAUUACAUUACGAUCGGGUUAAUAAUCUAAAUAUACAUAUGUUUUUCUCUUGAGACCUAGUCAGCCAUGUGUAACCAGAAUGUUCACAGUGCGGUCAUUAUCAAAAUCUUUAAUUUUUCGAAGGGGAACUGAAAACGAUGGGCGUGUUUCACCACAUUUAACAUUAGGGGAAUCAAAAAAAGCAGAAUUGAGCAUUUUCAGUGUUAAUAUUCAGUAUAUACAUAUUGUUCUAAAUAAAUAAAUACUUAUGUUCAAAUUGACCUACUUAUUUCAUGAAUAAUGAUGAACUUCAUAAAAUCUUUUGAAAUAUAUAAUAAAGUAAGGAUUGUAUUAUUACCUAAAUAUUUAAUUAAUAUACAUAUGUUUUAUGAAAAAUAUAUUUAUAUAUUUAUUUGGUCAUGAUUUUGAUAACAUUUGAAAGAACCAAGCGGUCGUACAUACUUGUAUGUUCAUACAUGUAUAAUUAUGUGUGCAAGUAAACAUAUAUGAAAGAACCAUACGCAAUAAUGUUUGUAAAUUUGUUUACAUACAACUUUCUAUGCUUCAUGCGAAAUCUCAGUUGACACGGAAAACCAAUAACCGCAGCUCACGUUUUUUGCUUUCUUGUCAAAGAGUCAAUGCGUCGAAGGACUGACGCAACGACAAAGCGUCACAACAUUGUGUUGUUGCUAGAAAAUUCGAGCUGUGCCGAUCACUUUUUUCUAUGGUUUGCGGGGUUGUCACUUUUUACUUCUAUAAGGAACAUCAGAAAGUUGUUCAAUUUAUGAUUUUGAAGCGAAGUUGCCAGUGGCGCUUGCGUUCAUGGAUAAAAAUGUUGUUGGUGUGUGAUUUACUAUAAAUUUUUAUUCGGCAAUUCGAAUGCUAUAUUGACUUUUGAUGCUGUUUAUGCCAUUUGAGACGAUUGUUAUUUUUGUAGAACAAUGCUUGUAGUUUUUGGUGGUGACAUACUUUACAUGUGUACGCUUAUAUGUAUGUAAGUUUGUGUAUGCAUUCUUUGUGUGGCAAUGUCAUACGCACAUAUGUGUGUACAUAUAGAGCAGGGCGCUCACAAGUUAUUACUGAUAAUAUCGAGAUUUGAAUGUGUGAAGGUGUACAUAUAUACAUACUUGUACAUACAUGUGUAUGUGCAUGAUACAUUUGGAUGUAUAUAAGUAUGUUUUAAAUGAUGAAAGGUAGGAUUUAUAUUAAUUACUAUUGUAAUAUAUUAAUAUUAUAGUAUAUUAUGAUAGUAUGUUAUGUAUUUAGUAUAUAGUAGUAUAUAAUAUUAUAUUAUCAAACAUAAGAAAUGUAUAAAAAGUAGGCCAAAUUUGCACAUUGCCUAAAAAUAUUGCUUUCAAAAUUACAUAAUUUAAUUAAAAGUUUAUCAGUUUUGCAUGCAUGCCUUUACAAAUUUACAAAAUUACAUACACUGGCCAAAGAAAGUAUUCGACAUAUGCAUUUUUCAAUUUAUUUUUGAAAUAUUCCUUAAUAUAAACUAAUAAAAGAUCAAAAAUCAGUGUUUUUUGGAGCAAUAAUUUAUUUAGUUUGUAACUUGAUGGCUUUUAUGAUAAUAAAAACAAUAAAACUAACCAAAAAAGCACAAAAACUAAAUUACCCCGAAUAAUGAAGCAAAAAAAAAUAUUCGACAAUUACGCAAAAGAGCGAAUUCCAAUGAUUAACGGUAAAAAAUAACGAUCGGUUUGAAUAUUUUGCUUAACAUUGUUUUGCAGCAAUCCAUUUUAAAGCGAAAUUUAAAGUAAAUAAGUGAAGUUAAACAUUGGUCGUAAAAAGAAAAAAGUGUCUGAAGAAAUAGAAAAUUUCAUCGUAAAGUACUUUAAAAGUGGAUUAACCGAAAGCAAAAUAGCCGAAUUAGUUGAUAGGUUACGUACAACUUUUCAUUAUAUUAUUAAAAAAUGGAAAGAUUAGAAGUCGGUUGAAAAUCAUCCAAGGUGUGGUCGACCUAAGGUCUUUUGUAAAACAGACGAACGUUGGUUGGUUCGCCAGGUCAAAAAAGAACCAAAAACAAAUGCAACGGUUCUCUACAAAAAUGUUAAAGAAAGCCUAAAUAUAGAUGUGACACCCCAAACCAUUCGAAAUUAUUUGAAAAUUAAUGACUACAGGGGAAGAGUUGCGCGAAAAAAGCCACAUAUCUCUAAAAAAAAAGAUUGGAAAGAUUAAGCUUUGCAAAAACGUACAUAAACAAGCCCGCUGAAUUUUGGAGUAAUAUGACCUUUGCAGAUGCGAGCAAAUUUAUUCUUUUUGGAUGUGAUGGCAAAGUAAUUGUGUACAGAAAACCCAAUACAGAGCUGGAAGAGCGAAAUACAGUGGCAACUGUGAAACACGGAGGUGGAGGCGUUAUGAUUUGGGGGUGUAUGUCGGCAGCAGGAGUUGGAAAAAUGGAACCAAUUCGCCAAAUCAUUUACCACAUGCAAUAUAUUGGUAUUUUGAAGAGAAACUUGCGAACUAGUGCAGAAAAUCUCGGAAUCGGAGCGACUUUCCAGUUUUACCAAGAUAACGACCCGAAGCAUUCCGCAUUAAAUACAAAGCUUUGGCUUUUAUACAAUUGCCCUGGAGUAAUUAAAACGCCUGCUCAAAGUCCAGAUCUAAAUCCCAUGCAGGUUGACAAUUCACGUCAAUUUGUCCGGACAACUUAGAAUGGUAUGUAUAGUGGUUAUAAUAUCAAAUAAAGUAAACAAUUUAAAAGAGAAAGAGUGCCGUCAUAUCAAAAUAUAUAAUUCUCAAAAAGUACAGAGGAUAAAUCGGACAGUCGAAGAAGAAAACAAAGUGGAAGACCUAGAAAAUUUUGAAGAAAAAUACAAACAGGAAAUACUUUUUUAGGCGUAUAUAAGGGUUGCCAUGUAUUGUGACAAAAUGUGGCAUUACGGGGCAAACCAGUGACAGUUUUAUUGGAUACAUACCAGGUAUGGUAAAAAACAGAAGCGCGAAAAUAUGAAUAAAAAAUGGACGAAGCGGCCUUUGAAAAAAUUAAAUUAGAAUUACAAGCGCAGGUAGAAUUGUAUCAACCAGAUUUUUCAAAACUUUUUGAACUUACGACUGACACAAGAAAUUUCGCUAUGUGAGUUGUACUUGUACAGAAUAGAAUCGCUUUUAUUUCCAGAAUUCUAAGCUUUACCGAACAAGGUUAUAUUACCAAUGAAAAAACUUUUAGCUAUAGUGUGGGCACUCCAAAAAUUUUGAAAUUAUCUAUACGGAGUGGCCGUUUUAACAAUCUAUACAGACCACCAGUUAGUAAUAUAUUCUAUGUCUGAAAAUAAACUAAACAGAAAACCAAAAAGAUAGAAAAAUUUAAUAGAAGAAUAUGGAACAAAAUUAGUUUACAAGCCAGGCCAUCAAAAUGUUGUAGCAGAUGCACUUGCUCGACAACAAGUAAACCACUUGCUCCGAUCAUUCUGCACAAAGCUCACCAAUAGAAAUAUUGAAACAGGUAAAACAAUAUUUCCUGAACAUUUUAGGGAUACGAUAUAUUGCAAUGCCAAGCGUUACAAAUUCUUUAAGGGUAGAAAAUAAAGAAAUUUUUCACUUCGGAAAAGAUAUUAUUCAUACAUUUCCAAAUUGUACAUUUGUACAAGCACAAAAACUUCUUGAUGAUAUUGUGAAUUCAUAUAAACGAAAGAGAUUGCUAUACAAACUCACAGAAGUGCCCUUAAAAAUUACAAAAACAACGCCUAAGAGAUACUUUUAAACUACUACUGGCCAAACCUAAAGCAAAUGUGCAGAGCCGAGACAAACACACGAAACAAACAACGAAAUAUGCCUUUUACAUAAAUAUGAGAGUCAACCGAACAAACAAUCUAUAGGAAACCAAUACCAACAAAAGUAGGAGAACACAUAAAAAGUGACAUAUUUCACAUGAACAACAAUAUUUUACUUAGUUCAAUAGACAGAUACUAGAAAUUUUGUUUUAUAUUGGGGAAGUUUUAAUAAAAGUAUAAUCUAUGACUGAUAAUGAGAGCGUAUUCUUUAGUUAUACUUGUAUGGCCAAAUCGUUAUACAGUUGACCAAUACACCAUUCUACGUCAAACGCUCAGAUUGAACGGGUGCACAGCACACUUGUUGAAAUCAUACAAAGCCUAGCAGCUGAAAAUAAAACAGCACCAGGGGACAGAAUAUUUAAUGCGGUACGUCAAUAUAAUAAAACCAUUCACUCUAGUACAGGAUAUAAACCUGAGGACGUGUUUUUUAUCGCGAGAAAUAUCCCGACAUCCGUGAAGCACUUGAGCAGAAGCAGAACCAACUUUAAAGUACCAUAAUAGCAAUCGGCAAAUUAUUUCUUACGAAGAGGGCGAUAUAAUUUACAGUCGGACAGAUCGACGGAAUAAAACUUCGGCAAAGUACAACAAACAUCAAGUAAAGGAAGAUCGAGGGGACACGAUUUUGACAGUAAAAGGGAAGGUUAUAUAUAUAAGGAUAGUAUCAGGAAGGUAUCAACAUAAAAGCGACCGGAUUUAAAAUAUUACUUAUUUUUUCAUAUUGUUCUUGGGAGAAAAUAACGGAUUUAAAUGGUAAAAAAUUUGUGCUUACUGAAUCUGACACGGUGUAUAUGUUUAACAUCAACGAUUCGAAAAUAUACUUGAAACCCUCGAUCCUGAAUCAAUUAUGGAGAGAUUAAUUAUGACAGAAGUCCUUAAAGAAUUAGAAAAUAUAACGAAUACAAUAAAUUGUGCAAGGUUAUGAAACUUUUAUUCAAGCAUGUUAAAUUUAAAAGAAAUAAAUGAAGUAAUCCACAAUGAAAUAUAUAAUGUUCCCCAGUAAUAACCAUAUAUAAAUAUCCUGUUAUUUCAAAUAAAUGCCAACUAUACCAACUGAUUCCUUUAGCUUUUGAACAAGACAAGUAUGAAUUGAAACAAAAGGUUUUGAAAAGUAAGAAAGAAUUUUUUAUGUAUCAAAAUGCAAAAGUAACGUAGGCACGAAUAUUUAUAAACAAAAAUUAAAAGAUAAUAUCACCAUUCCACUGUUAUCAAAUCAAAAAGCCCAAUGUAACUUAAUACAAGAAAAUAAUAUUGAAAUACAAAUUGUAGACCACAGCAAUAUUGUAAUAACUAGUGAACAUAUUUGGAACGGUUUAAAAGUAAGAGGACCACAUUUAAUACAAUUUGAAAUCUCUACAAGUAUAGAUAAUAAAACAUAUGUGAAUCACGAAGAAGAAAUUAAAAAUGCAAUUCAUGAACAUCAUAACGAGAUGUAGAAGUUUUGCAAAUAUUAGAAUCAAACGCAAAUUAUAAAUUUAAUAAUAUUCAAAAAUUAUAUAAAUACGCUAUACCUAUAGAAGAACAUCCAGUAGAGUUUGCAUUCUUCAUAAUUAUUUUUAUUUUAACAAUUUACUUAUAUAUAAAAUUAAGACAAUGUCGACGAAAACAAGAGACGCUCAUUAUUCGAGAGAGCAUAUGAAGACGAGCUCCUCCGACUACUAGCAUAAACACAAUACGGGCGACGGCGAAUAUUCGUCGUACUCGGCGAUACCGUCGGUGAUUCGAACACACGAUUGUAUAUGAAGAUUAACACAGUAUGCGACGGCGGCGGAUUUCGCCCACCAUGACGAUUUUUCAAAUAGAGCUAUUUCUAAUUUUAUCGCCGACCGCGGCCGCAAAAAUGGCAUCACCAUAUCAAAGAAAGAUUAUUUUCAGUAAAAAUACUAAUGAUUUUAAAAAAAAAUUUAAGAAAAUGUCUGUGUUGGCAAUAUUAAGAUUGUUUAUGUUUGGUUUCGUCAUUUAUUGUGAUAUUUUUGAGCGCUGAAUAUACACUAGCUGAGACGAAAAUCGUCCGUAUUGUGUUUUACACGGCGACAACACUCGGCGAAAAUCCGUCCGACGGCGUCGCCGAGUACGACGAAUAUUCGUCGUCGCCCGUAUUGUGUUUAAGAUGUUAAACAUCAGGAAGAGUUAAGGACGUUAGUAUAUGUAUAAACAUACAUAUAUACAAGCAACAAUUUUUGUUUCCAAACACAAAUAGCGAUAAACAAUAUCCAACCAAAAGCAAACAUAUUAAGUUCCCUAAUAUAAGUGACGAUAAGAACAUGAUAACAUUAUACAGAAAUUCAGUAACAGAAUAUAUAAACACUAAACAAUAUUUAUCAGCAAAUAGAAAUACUUAUCAGCUAUUAAAAAUAUUUAGUAUAAAUAGAUGUAAGCAUAUGUAAACACUCAUCAAACAAUAUUUAUCAGCAAAUAGAAAUACUUAUCAGCUAUUAGAAAUUAGUAGUAAAUAUUAUAUAAGUGGAUGUAAGCAUUCAAAUGUAAUCUCAAUUCUUAAUAUACGGAAUUUAACAAAGAGCUCUUGAUCAGAAAAUAGGAACGUCGAGAAACAAGGACACUUUUUUGUUGGCAAUUGUGGAAACAAAUAAUUGCGUCUACAAAGUAGUACCACACAGCGAUAUAUUCUUUGUCCUACUGUACCCUAUACACCAGUUGCAUCUGCGAUUACACCUGAUAAUAACAUUUUGAUUAAUAGUGUAGUAAACAUACACCAUGCAAUGUAGUAAACGUGGAAAAGGCUAUAAUUAGACACAACGAAAGUUCUUAAAUAAAUUAUCGAUGCGUAUACCUA
Long non-coding RNA from Bactrocera oleae (olive fruit fly), 6723 nucleotides. RefSeq lists it as uncharacterized. The record is from RefSeq and is a predicted model, not a curated record. NCBI's taxonomy places the organism in Eukaryota, Metazoa, Arthropoda, Insecta, Diptera, Tephritidae.